Molecule: ribosomal RNA, 1179 nt
Filed under: Triticum aestivum (bread wheat)
Lineage: Eukaryota; Viridiplantae; Streptophyta; Magnoliopsida; Poales; Poaceae
Description: partial small subunit ribosomal RNA
Source: RNAcentral
AUGACCUGGCCCAGCCAUCCAGCGCGGGAAGCAGCGGAGACCGCGGCGGCGGCGGCGGCGGCGGCGGCGGCGAUGGCGAUGCUAGACCGACGAAGGCCCCACGCUUGCCCCCACCGCCCGCGCAGUCGCACUCUCGCGACCAGACGGCGCUUCCCACUUCAGCGCCCCCGCCGCCUCCCGCCGACAAGGAUCCGGUGGAGCUGGAAGAAGGGGAGCGAGGAGAUGAUGAAGAUUCAGGGGAGGAAGAAGAGGAUGAUCAGGAUUCGGAAGGGGAGCUCCAGGGGUCACUUCCUGAUGGGAGAACCGACCGUGCCCUCACUGGUGGUUUCGGGUGUCCACAUGCUCCCGACAGCAUUAGGACCUCAGGAACAACUCUCGGAAUUGGUUCGUGAAUCUCCAGAUAAUUCCAUCAUCCAGGAAAAGAUGAAGAUUCUCAGUAAGCAUUAUGUGCUCUUCAGAAGAACUCGCCAAGAUGGCAGCUGUUUUUACAGAGCUUUUAUCUUCUCCUACAUGGAGAUCCUUCGACAGAUGCAAGAUAAACAAGCUGAAGUUACUCGUCUUAUGGAAUGCUUGGAUAUGUCUAAAGAUAGAUUCUCUUGUCUUGAGUGGAACAAAGCAUACUUCUCGAUAGAUCCCGAAGAAUACUUCUCAAGUGUUGUUUCUGAGCUCAAUGAGGUUCUCAACGUCAUUGCAGCAGGCUGUACUUCUGAAUGGCUGUACCAGAGAAGCCUGCAGGAGUCCUUUUCAGGCAGGAUUAUAUCUCUCCUUAGGUUGAUUACUGAGACUGAAAUCCGUACAGACGAGUUCUACAAGCAAUCUAUCCCUAAAAAUUUGAAUGUCCUCCAGUUCUGUUGGAAGGCGGUGCGAUCCCUGGAUGCUGAAGCUACCGCUACACAAAUGAGGGCUUUGACAUAUGCACUCGGCAUACCUUUGCGUGUCGAAGUCGUGGACAAGAGCUUGACGGAUCAAGGUGUGUUAGUGAAGCGCCUCGAUUUCUUCCAUGAGUUCGACAUGGAGAAGGGCCCUCUCCGUUUGACUCGGAGCUACCUUUCCUCGAGCACAGCUCGUAUACCGCUGAAGCAGGGAAGCUACGAUGGCGACUUGCUAUCAUCUGAUGGCACACCCAUGCUGACCUUACUGUGUCGGCAUGGCCAUUGUGACAUUCUUUACCGCAAGUGA